RNAcentral lists this ribosomal RNA (232 nucleotides) under uncultured bacterium. Its description in RNAcentral is "partial 16S ribosomal RNA". It matches the Rfam family "Bacterial small subunit ribosomal RNA", at positions 99 to 334 of the family's 1533-position model. The record is from RNAcentral.
CGGACGGGUGAGUAAUGUCUGGGAAACUGCCUGAUGGAGGGGGAUAACUACUGGAAACGGUAGCUAAUACCGCAUAACGUCGCAAGACCAAAGAGGGGGACCUUAGGGCCUCGCGCCAUCAGAUGAACCCAUAUGGGAUUAGCUUGUAGGUAAGGUAACGGCUUACCUAGGCGACGAUCCCUAGCUGGUCUGAGAGGAUGAUCAGCCACACUGGGACUGAGACACGGCCCAG